GAUUCAGUAGCUCAGUUGGUAGAGCACAUCCCUUUUAAGGAUGGGGUCCUGGGUUCGAGACCCAGCUGAAUCA
RNAcentral lists this transfer RNA (73 nucleotides) under Bacteroidota bacterium. Its description in RNAcentral is "tRNA-Lys". It matches the Rfam family "tRNA". Rfam says of the family: Transfer RNA (tRNA) molecules are approximately 80 nucleotides in length. Their secondary structure includes four short double-helical elements and three loops (D, anti-codon, and T loops). RNAcentral also lists the same sequence under 3 other names. The record is from RNAcentral. Lineage: Bacteria; Pseudomonadati; Bacteroidota.